UCCGUAGGCGGGCGACUAAGUCAGAGGUGAAAUCCCACAGCUUAACUGUGGAACUGCCUUUGAUACUGGUUGUCUUGAGUUAUAGUGAAGUAGAUAGAAUAUGUAGUGUAGCGGUGAAAUGCUUAGAUAUUACAUAGAAUACCGAUUGCGAAGGCAGUCUACUAACUGUAUACUGACGCUAAUGGACGAAAGCGUGGGGAGCGAACAGGAUUAGAUACCCUGGUAGUCC
RNAcentral lists this ribosomal RNA (229 nucleotides) under uncultured bacterium. Its description in RNAcentral is "partial 16S ribosomal RNA". It matches the Rfam family "Bacterial small subunit ribosomal RNA", at positions 568 to 796 of the family's 1533-position model. The record is from RNAcentral.